ACUGGUCGGCUAGAGUGUGGGAGAGGAUGGUAGAAUUCCAGGUGUAGCGGUGAAAUGCGUAGAGAUCUGGAGGAAUACCGAUGGCGAAGGCAGCCAUCUGGCCUAACACUGACGCUGAGGUGCGAAAGCAUGGGGAGCAAACAGGAUUAGAUACCCUGGUAGUCCAUGCCGUAAACGAUGUCUACUAGCCGUUGGGGCCUUUGAGGCUUUAGUGGCGCAGCUAACGCGAUAAGUAGACCGCCUGGGGAGUACGGUCGCAAGACUAAAACUCAAAUGAAUUGACGGGGGCCCGCACAAGCGGUGGAGCAUGUGGUUUAAUUCGAUGCAACGCGAAGAACCUUACCUGGCCUUGACAUAGUAGAAACUUUCCAGAGAUGGAUUGGUGCCUUCGGGAAUCUACAUACAGGUGCUGCAUGGCUGUCGUCAGCUCGUGUCGUGAGAUGUUGGGUUAAGUCCCGCAACGAGCGCAACCCUUUUCCUUACUUGCCAGCAUUUCGGAUGGGAACUUUAAGGAUACUGCCAGUGACAAACUGGAGGAAGGCGGGGACGACGUCAAGUCAUCAUGGCCCUUACGGCCAGGGCUACACACGUGCUACAAUGG
Molecule: ribosomal RNA, 601 nt
Filed under: Acinetobacter sp. ST12.14/355
Lineage: Bacteria; Pseudomonadati; Pseudomonadota; Gammaproteobacteria; Moraxellales; Moraxellaceae
Description: bacterial SSU rRNA
Rfam family: Bacterial small subunit ribosomal RNA
Source: RNAcentral